This is a long non-coding RNA of Neopelma chrysocephalum (saffron-crested tyrant-manakin), 343 nucleotides long. RefSeq lists it as uncharacterized. The record is from RefSeq and is a predicted model, not a curated record. NCBI's taxonomy places the organism in Eukaryota, Metazoa, Chordata, Aves, Passeriformes, Pipridae. The transcript has 3 exons.
CAACCUAAAUGAUUCCAUGAUGCUGAGGUUUGGUGAAAAACCCUCCACCUGGUCCCAACUCCACACUCUUUGAUCCUCACUGGAUAUAUCCUGAGAUAUUUCUCUAUUCCAGGUGUCCAUUUCCAAUCAGCCUUUCACAAAACGUUUUUUAACACCAAACCUGGAAAGAGAGGGAAUCUUUUUAACAUAAAGGUCACAAAUCAAAGCUUUAUUUUAGCAGGACUGGUGGGCAGCCAAGGGAAAGAGGCACACGGAGAAGAAGAAUGUGGCAUUCAGGAGAGCACCUUUCACUGACUUGUGGGUCUUGUCCUCUGGUUUUGCUGGCAGAAAAUUGCUGUCUUGG